Molecule: ribosomal RNA, 1228 nt
Filed under: Iranian peach little leaf yellowing phytoplasma
Lineage: Bacteria; Bacillati; Mycoplasmatota; Mollicutes; Acholeplasmatales; Acholeplasmataceae
Description: bacterial SSU rRNA
Rfam family: Bacterial small subunit ribosomal RNA
Source: RNAcentral
UGCCGGACUGGAUAGGAAAUUAAGAGGCAUCUUUUAAUUUUUAAAAGACCUUUUUCGAAAGGUAUGCUUAAAGAGGGGCUUGCGCCACAUUAGUUAGUUGGUAAGGUAAAGGCUUACCAAGACGAUGAUGUGUAGCUGGACUGAGAGGUCGAACAGCCACAUUGGGACUGAGACACGGCCCAAACUCCUACGGGAGGCAGCAGUAAGGAAUUUUUGGCAAUGGAGGAAACUCUGACCGAGCGACGCCGCGUGAACAAUGAAGUACUUCGGUAUGUAAAGUUCUUUUAUUGAAAAAGAAAAAAUAGUGGAAAAACUAUCUUGACAUUAUUCAAUGAAUAAGCCCCGGCUAAUUAUGUGCCAGCAGCCGCGGUAAUACAUAAGGGGCGAGCGUUAUCCGGAAUUAUUGGGCGUAAAGGGUGCGUAGGCGGUUUGAUAAGUCUAUAGUUUAAAUGCAGUGCUUAACGCUGUAGCGCUAUAGAAACUGUCUGACUAGAGUUAGAUAGAGGCAAGCGGAAUUCCAUGUGUAGCGGUAAAAUGCGUAAAUAUAUGGAGGAACACCAGAGGCGUAGGCGGCUUGCUGGGUCUUAACUGACGCUGAGGCACGAAAGCGUGGGGAGCAAACAGGAUUAGAUACCCUGGUAGUCCACGCCGUAAACGAUGAGUACUAAGUGUCGGGUUUCGGCUCGGUACUGAAGUUAACACAUUAAGUACUCCGCCUGAGUAGUACGUACGCAAGUAUGAAACUUAAAGGAAUUGACGGGACCCCGCACAAGCGGUGGAUCAUGUUGUUUAAUUCGAAGAUACACGAAAAACCUUACCAGGUCUUGACAUAAUUUUGCGACAUUAUAGAAAUAUAAUGAAGGUUAUCAGAAUUACAGGUGGUGCAUGGUUGUCGUCAGCUCGUGUCGUGAGAUGUUAGGUUAAGUCCUAAAACGAGCGCAACCCUUGUCGUUAGUUGCGACCACGUAAUGGUGAGCACUUUAGCGAGACUGCCAAUGAAAAAUUGGAGGAAGGUGAGGAUUACGUCAAAUCAUCAUGCCCCUUAUGAUCUGGGCUACAAACGUGAUACAAUGGCUGUUACAAAGAGUAGCUACAACGUGAGUUUUUAGCCAAUCUCAAAAAAACAGUCUCAGUUCGGAUUGAAGUCUGCAACUCGACUUCAUGAAGUUGGAAUCGCUAGUAAUCGCGAAUCAGCAUGUCGCGGUGAAUACGUUCUCGGGGUUUCCAG